GGUUGGGAUAAAUUUGGGGAUGAUGGUCCAUGGAACACUACACAUUAUCUUGAGGUGCUGCACACAUGUGCCAAAUAUCAAAAGAUUUUGUCACAGGGCAAACAAAUCAUGCUCCCUACACAAAAGUGUAAACAAAAAUCAUCUUUUUACUUUGAAGUCAAAGGUCAAAGUACAGCCAAAAAUUGUAUUGUAGGUAUCUGUGGCAUUGACUUAUGAUCUACAUGCCAAUUCAAUGAAAAUGUUCUUGCAUUUUCCAACUAAGUACUUUCAUGGUGAAAAUUUGUACAAAAAAGGACAAGAAAUGUAUAGUGUACAUUUUAUGGUUGCUAUGGCAACCAAAUGAACAAAGUGGUGAUGAGACUGCAACUUUUUUUCUUUAAUUUUUUUC
This 388-nucleotide long non-coding RNA is filed under the name Mytilus galloprovincialis (Mediterranean mussel). Lineage: Eukaryota; Metazoa; Mollusca; Bivalvia; Mytilida; Mytilidae. The record is from RNAcentral.